Molecule: ribosomal RNA, 250 nt
Filed under: uncultured bacterium
Lineage: Bacteria
Description: partial 16S ribosomal RNA
Rfam family: Bacterial small subunit ribosomal RNA
Source: RNAcentral
ACUCCUACGGGAGGCAGCAGUGGGAAUAUUGCACAAUGGGGAAAGCCCAUCGAUGCAGCCAUGCCGCGUGUGUGAAGAAGGCCUUCGGGUUGUAAAGCACUUUCAGUAGGGAGGAAGGUAGUGUAGUUAACACCUGCAUAUUGAUCGUAUCCUACAGAAGAAAGCACCGGCUAACUCCGUGCCAGCAGCCGCGGUAAUACGGAGGGUGCGAGCGUUAAUCGGAAUUACUGGGCGUAAAGCGCAUGCAGGC